Triticum dicoccoides is the source of this 2881-nucleotide long non-coding RNA. RefSeq lists it as uncharacterized. NCBI's taxonomy places the organism in Eukaryota, Viridiplantae, Streptophyta, Magnoliopsida, Poales, Poaceae. The record is from RefSeq and is a predicted model, not a curated record. The transcript has 2 exons.
UGUUCACUCAAUGGUUUACCCCCAAUUGGCGGCCUGACCCAAAUCGCGACCUCCCCCAAAUCCCACCUGCCCUAGUUUCCACCCCAACCACCUCCGCCGCCGAGCACCUUCCGCCACACCCGACCACCGUACGCCAGCCCCCAGCAUCCCACCGCAGUGCCCGACCCCUCCCCGGCUACUGUCUCUUCUGCUGGCACAUGGGGGCGGGGGAGCAAGAGCAAGGGCCAUAGCACUCAUGGCGAGUUAUCGUCGAGGUGCACGUUGUGCGCACGGGAACUUGAAGGAGUGGCUUGUAGGAGGGAAAUGGAGGGAGGCGCGAUGGGUGGAGGAGGCCGGAGGUGUUUCCCACACUACGGAUCUGCCGUGGGGAUGUGGGAUGGAAGGCCACGGUUGCGCGGCCCCAGAUCCGGCGAUGGACUUGCGUGAGAGGCGGCCAACGGGGCGCGGGGCACAGCUCCAGAUCCAGGCGGCCCGAGCAAAGCAUGAAGCCAACAAGGAGGGGCGGGGGUUUGGAUUUGUUGAGAUGGACGCGGGCACACGCUUUGGGUGUCCGCCGCCGCUGCCCACCGAGCGGCACAGGAGCGAGUGACCUGGAAUCAAAAGAUGCCGACAGUCUCGAGUACUCAGAUCAGCAAACCCGUCUUGAUCAUGGGGUACAAUUAAAUUGUGUCAAGGUUUGGCCUUUUGAAGGAACAUAUGUUACUUGCCAUCAUGCCAAUCGCCAGUACUUACUUCCCAUGCCAAUCUCAAGUUUUGCUAUUUCAACUUCAGUUUCACAUGACAUAUUUCCCAUGCCUUAAUUUUGCUAUUGGUUGAUUACCGAAGUUGUUUGAUGAAGUGAUACUCUAGUUUAUAAUUUUUCCUAGAACUGCAAUGCCCAAUACGUUUAUAGGAGUUUUAACAUACCAUACUUUUGCAGGUCUGUUUGUGCACAAACUCUAGACCCUGCUUGUUCAGAUCUACAGGUUCUAGUUUCGGAUUAAAGUCCAUAUAUUCCCGUACCAUACGGGAGUUGAUUUUUUUAGUCUCGAGCAUAUGCUUUAGAAGUGUCUAAUUCGCAUUGUGAAAAAAACUGAAACCAUUACAUGCUGAAACAUUUGACAGGUGAUAUUUCUCUCUCGUUUUAUUCAAAAUAGUAACUAAAAUGAGUUUAGCAAGUUUUGAAAAAACUGAAACCAUUACAUGCUGAAACAUUUGACAGAUGAUAUUUCUCUCCCGUUUUCUUCAGAGCAGUAACUAAAAUGAGUUCAACAAUUUUUAAGUUUAUGACACUACAGCUGUGAAUAUAAUGACUAGCUAUCAAACAUAUUCCCUAGACUGCACUAGUAGUAUCUUUGCCAUCCAAUAGCCCAAGUUUAUUUAUGUUGAAGAGAUCUUCCAUUUAACAAUGACUAUUAUGGUUGAUUGCUUAAAAGUCCUUGCUUCGAUGUAUGGAGCUAGAAGUAGAAUCUAAGUUGGAAAAGCAGCAACGUGAGCACAAGAAAGCUAAGGAGGUAAUAAUCUUGGAUUUAGUAUUUGCUUUUGGAUACAUUCUUGCUGCUAUUUCAGAAUAUUGAAACUUCAUUUAGCAUUUGGUUCCUUAUAUGCUUAAUGCAAAUGAAACUGCAGCAAACAUACAAACUAAGCUUUUGCUUGACCUGUGUAUGCAUGUCCUGAAUGUGCUUAGCCUUUUUAUGCAUACAAUUAGUGGAAGCUUUUACAUGUCCAGUGUAUGCAUGUUCUGUAACUAAGCUUUUGCAUGUCCUAUGUAUUCUGAAGCUUAGCCUUUUGUUAUUGGGUUAGUACUUGAAAGAUUAUCUUAGUCUACCUGCCGUAGAUCCAUAUAUGAAGAGCAUAGGUGAUGCCUUCUUAUAUUCCUACGCAUAGUCCAAUAUUUCCUUUUCCUUGAUCCAGUACUCUUCUUUCCUUUGAUGCAAGCAAAAUGGCAUCGCAUUCUUGAUCCAGUACACAACAGGAAUAUUGCUAUAGAUGCACACUGGAAGUCUGAAAUCAUGCUAGUAGAAAUAGGUGUUCUGUCAGCUACUCAUAUUUUUUAUUGCAUGUGUCUCCUACCACUAAAUUUGUGAUUAAAUAAGUGUUCUGCAUAUAUGUUUGCCAACUGAUGGUCCAUAUAAGACUGGAAACAACACCAUCUUUGUGACAUUUAACCUGUUCUAUUUUUUUGUAGACAGUGCUAGUCCAAUGGAUAAGAAAAUUGACACAUGUCAUUUGGAGCCCAAAGACUAGUAAGAUUGUUGUAAACUACUUCAAUGUAACAUUAGCAUUUUAGUUUCUAUACUUCUGUCAUGUUCGUGCUGGAAAAAUGUUUGCAUUUUGCUGUUUUUCCAUGGGAUGAAACUAUUUCAUACAACCUCCAUCCCAGAUUAGUUGUCUCAAGUUGGACACGUUUUAGUGUUAGACACAUCCGUAUCCAGAUAAAUCUAAGACAACUAAUUUAGGACGGAGGGAGUAUCUUGCACUACAGUCUUUGUGUGUUUAUACCAAAACACAAGAUCCGAUGAUGUAAAAAAUUCAUACGAGUUGUGCAUGUAGCUUCCUGUAAUCACUUCCUACUUUGUCCUAUAUAUGUGCAGGUUUUGGAUGGCGUUUUAUGGAAUCACAUACAGGAAACUAAAAUUGAUAUCGGAGCUAAGCACACGAUGUAAUUGUGGUCAACUAGAUGUGCUUAAUUUGUGUGCAAAGGCCUAAAAAUCCUGACGUGUUUUAGUUUCCUAUUAACUUGAAUAUUUGCUCAAUGCCUUGAAAGGAAAUUUGAUUAGAAAAUUUCUUGAUGAUGUAGACAUCUUAUAAAAGUGGGAAUGGCGCACUCAAUAGAUUCUUUGAGUGUUGUAAAUUAGUGUAAUGCAGAUAAUGUUUUAUAAUACAUGUGCUUUUCAAUUCU